RNAcentral lists this ribosomal RNA (401 nucleotides) under Pedinellales sp. Its description in RNAcentral is "partial small subunit ribosomal RNA". It matches the Rfam family "Eukaryotic small subunit ribosomal RNA", at positions 582 to 975 of the family's 1831-position model. Lineage: Eukaryota; Dictyochophyceae; Pedinellales. The record is from RNAcentral.
AUUCCAGCUCCAAUAGCGUAUAUUAAUGUUGUUGCAGUUAAAAAGCUCGUAGUUGGAUUUCUGGUCGGGACGUCUGGCCGGCUCCGCAAGGGGUCGUUGCAUUGACUGUACUCGUCCAUCCUCAGGUCGACUAGCUCUGGUAUUUAUUUAACGGUGUUAGAACGCCUGUCGUUUACUGUGAACAAAUUAGAGUGUUCAAAGCAAGGUGUACUUGAAUACAUUAGCAUGGAAUAAUAAGAUAGGACUUUGGUGGUUCUUUUUGAUAUUUUGUUGGUUUGCACGCCAAAGUAAUGAUUAAUAGGAGCAGUUGGGGGUAUUCGUAUUCAAUUGUCAGAGGUGAAAUUCUUGGAUUUAUAGAAGACGAACUACUGCGAAAGCAUUUACCAAGGAUGUUUUCAUCA